GCAAAACGCGAAGAACCUUACCAAGGCUUGACAUAUACGAGAACGGGCCAGAAAUGGUCAACUCUUUGGACACUCGUAAACAGGUGGUGCAUGGUUGUCGUCAGCUCGUGUCGUGAGAUGUUGGGUUAAGUCCCGCAACGAGCGCAACCCUCGUUCUAUGUUGCCAGCACGUUAUGGUGGGAACUCAUGGGAUACUGCCGGGGUCAACUCGGAGGAAGGUGGGGAUGACGUCAAAUCAUCAUGCCCCUUAUGUCUUGGGCUUCACGCAUGCUACAAUGGCCGGUACAAAGGGCUGCAAUACCGUGAGGUGGAGCGAAUCCCAAAAAGCCGGUCCCAGUUCGGAUUGAGGUCUGCAACUCGACCUCAUGAAGUCGGAGUCGCUAGUAAUCGCAGAUCAGCAACGCUGCGGUGAAUACGUUCCCGGGUCUUGUACACACCG
Molecule: ribosomal RNA, 439 nt
Filed under: uncultured bacterium
Lineage: Bacteria
Description: bacterial SSU rRNA
Rfam family: Bacterial small subunit ribosomal RNA
Source: RNAcentral